Long non-coding RNA from Dermatophagoides pteronyssinus (European house dust mite), 251 nucleotides. The record is from RefSeq and is a predicted model, not a curated record. Lineage: Eukaryota; Metazoa; Arthropoda; Arachnida; Sarcoptiformes; Pyroglyphidae.
AUUGUCAUUGUCAUCAUCAUCAUCAACAUUGAAUAUUUAGGCUCAUUCAUCAUCAUUAUUCGAACAUUAUUUUUCAAUUCGUUUACAGUUUUUUGUUUUGUUUUUUUGUUUCGUUAUUUUUACACAUUACCUAACAUGGUAUGAGCUUCAAAUUAUCAUCGACGUAACGUUUUUUUAUUUAAAUAUUUUGGCUAAUAGUGAUUUGUAUAUAUCAUGAAAGACAUUUGAAAUAUACACGAAAACGGAAAGAA